Long non-coding RNA from Sceloporus undulatus (fence lizard), 217 nucleotides. RefSeq lists it as uncharacterized. The transcript is spliced from 3 exons. NCBI's taxonomy places the organism in Eukaryota, Metazoa, Chordata, Lepidosauria, Squamata, Phrynosomatidae. The record is from RefSeq and is a predicted model, not a curated record.
CCUGGACAUAAGCCUCUACAAGGAGGUGACCGACUCCAGAACUGCCCAGAUUAUGUUUCAAGCUUACGGUGACAAGCAAGGGCCACUACAUGGGAUGCUGAUCAACACUCCAUAUGUGACAAAGGACUUACUGCAGUCCAAGAGGUUCCAGGCGCAAUCGUUGGGGACGACGUACGUCUAUGACAUCCCUGAAAUGUUUCGACAGUCUCUGAUCAAC